Molecule: ribosomal RNA, 234 nt
Filed under: uncultured bacterium
Lineage: Bacteria
Description: partial 16S ribosomal RNA
Rfam family: Bacterial small subunit ribosomal RNA
Source: RNAcentral
GCCCAAGAGACUGGGAUAACACCUGGAAACAGAUGCUAAUACCGGAUAACAACACUAGACGCAUGUCUAGAGUUUAAAAGAUGGUUCUGCUAUCACUCUUGGAUGGACCUGCGGUGCAUUAGCUAGUUGGUAAGGUGACGGCUUACCAAGGCAAUGAUGCAUAGCCGAGUUGAGAGACUGAUCGGCCACAUUGGGACUGAGACACGGUCCAAACUCCUACGGGAGGCAGCAGAU